CUCCGUUUCACAAUGUAAGUCAUUGUAGCAUUCUCCACAUUUAUAUUGAUGUUAAUGAAUCUAGAUAGAUAUAUAUGUCUAGAUUCAUUAACAUCAAUAUGAAUGUGGGAAAUGCUAGAAUGACUUACAUUGUGAAAAGG
RNAcentral lists this unclassified non-coding RNA (140 nucleotides) under Oryza sativa (Asian cultivated rice). RNAcentral describes it as "partial microRNA MIR455b-57 precursor". The record is from RNAcentral. Lineage: Eukaryota; Viridiplantae; Streptophyta; Magnoliopsida; Poales; Poaceae.